Molecule: non-coding RNA, 94 nt
Organism: Sturnus vulgaris (Common starling)
Lineage: Eukaryota; Metazoa; Chordata; Aves; Passeriformes; Sturnidae
Source: RefSeq, a predicted model, not a curated record
AAUGGUUUGGGUUGGAAGGAACCUUAAAGCCCAUGUCACUCCACCCCCUGCCAUGGGCAGGGACACUUUCCACUAUCCCAGGCUGCUCCAAGCC